GUAGGUGGCAAGCGUUGUCCGGAAUUAUUGGGCGUAAAGCGCGCGCAGGCGGUUCUUUAAGUCUGAUGUGAAAGCCCACGGCUCAACCGUGGAGGGUCAUUGGAAACUGGAGAACUUGAGUACAGAAGAGGAAAGCGGAAUUCCACGUGUAGCGGUGAAAUGCGUAGAGAUGUGGAGGAACACCAGUGGCGAAGGCGGCUUUCUGGUCUGUAACUGACGCUGAGGCGCGAAAGCGUGGGGAGCAAACAGGAUUAGAUACCCUGGUAGUCCACGCCGUAAACGAUGAGUGCUAAGUGUUAGGGGGGUUUCCGCCCCCCUUAGUGCUGCAGUUAACGCAUUAAGCACUCCGCCUGGGGAGUACGGCCGCAAGGCUG
This 374-nucleotide ribosomal RNA is filed under the name uncultured organism. RNAcentral describes it as "partial 16S ribosomal RNA". It matches the Rfam family "Bacterial small subunit ribosomal RNA", at positions 527 to 896 of the family's 1533-position model. The record is from RNAcentral.